ACAACAUGUCAUUACGGUGGAAUUGUUUUCAAGUUUUUAGAGAAGCAAGCCGGAAAAUUGGACGACAGAGUUUAUGGAGAGGAAGGAAAUAAAAAGGUGGGGAAGAAAGAGCAACAUUUGCAGAAGAAAAAUGACUCUACUCUGCUGGGUCUGGACAGAAAGCACCUAAUCUUGUCCGAAUGAUAACUCUAUGGACUCCCAAAUGAAAAAGAGGCUGUUUAUGGACCUUUGAAACAGAUGGGUAGGUUGGACGGCAUAUUUUCCCAUUAUUGUUGCAGCUAAGGUUUUGCAAAUCUUUAAGUGAAGCCAGUGGCAUCGUGUGAUUCAAGUGGCUAAAUGGAUGUUAAGCAAAGAGCAAGGCGCUACACGCAUACACGAUGGAAUAAUUGUGAGGAUAGGAGAUUAUGAACUUUUGCGAGUGAAUAACGUGUUUUAACAUUGAUG
Long non-coding RNA from Arabidopsis lyrata subsp. lyrata, 444 nucleotides. RefSeq lists it as uncharacterized. The record is from RefSeq and is a predicted model, not a curated record. Lineage: Eukaryota; Viridiplantae; Streptophyta; Magnoliopsida; Brassicales; Brassicaceae. The transcript is spliced from 4 exons.